This 214-nucleotide small RNA is filed under the name Paenibacillus ihumii. RNAcentral's name for it is "ydaO/yuaA leader". It matches the Rfam family "c-di-AMP riboswitch aptamer (ydaO/yuaA leader)", at positions 11 to 130 of the family's 134-position model. From Rfam's summary of the family: This family represents a conserved RNA structure found upstream of the ydaO and yuaA genes in Bacillus subtilis and related genes in other bacteria. The ydaO/yuaA element is thought to act as a genetic "off" switch for the ydaO and yuaA genes in its native state. Lineage: Bacteria; Bacillati; Bacillota; Bacilli; Caryophanales; Paenibacillaceae. The record is from RNAcentral.
CUCGCUGAAUCUCCGCACAGGGGAACGGGGGAACCGGAUACGGUCUUGAUGAACUGAUCUUCAUACAGUCAACGAAGACAUCUGCCGUAUUUGAUUUCUUUUUGCAGGAUCUGGGGUGAAUUCGAGGUCAUUGCGCCAUGAGCGAAUGAACUGAGAAAGGGCGGCUCUCUUCGUCCGAACCCGACAGCUAACCUCGUAAGCGUGUCAAGAGAGG